This 208-nucleotide ribosomal RNA is filed under the name Aspergillus penicillioides. Its description in RNAcentral is "partial large subunit ribosomal RNA". It matches the Rfam family "Bacterial large subunit ribosomal RNA", at positions 626 to 845 of the family's 2925-position model. The record is from RNAcentral. Lineage: Eukaryota; Fungi; Ascomycota; Eurotiomycetes; Eurotiales; Aspergillaceae.
AAGUUAAUUUUAGAUGCAAGCUAUAGCGUUUAAGGCGCAAUAUUAGCUUAGAUAAACCAAUUAUGAGAAAAUGAAAAAGUAUCUAAAAUUAGACCCGAAGGCUAGUGAUCUUACCAUGGUCAGGGUUAUAAAAGCCCGAACGGGUUAUCGUUGUAUAGAUAUCCGAAGAACUGUGGUAAGUUGGUGAAAGACAAAACUGACUAGUAUA